AGAAAACUAUUACUCCUUUCAAAAGAUAGAUAAAAAUACAACAAAUAUAUGAACAUUCAAUAAUUUUUAAAUGAUAAUGUUUAUAUCAUCUCUUCUAUUUACAAAAUGUUCCACUUUGCAAAAACAUGUUAUCCCCCAAUGAGGUCUGUUUUUGUUGUUUGACCUGCUCUGCAACAAACACUGGACUUUCCUAACAAAUUUAGAUAUGGCGUUUAUAGGAAGUGAUGUUGGAUGUUUUCAUAACGUGGCUUUUUGAAACUAAAAUUCAGUAAAUAGAAAUAUCAGUGAGGGGUCUUUGGUUGGAGAAACUGAACUGCAAGAUCAGGGCUUUUCCCACCCACUUUUCCCCCCGACAGCAGGCCCUAUGCACUCCCAUUCUCUGUAUCUGUCUCCUAACCUGACCACCGCCCCCCACCACCAUCUUUCCAUGGUGAUAGAGCUGUUCACCCACAAGAGUGCUAAAAGGUCAUUGUAAAGGUAAUUUUCUUGUAAUCAGGAAAGAUGGAAACAAAUAAAAUGUGAAUGCAUCAUUAUUACUAUCAUCGGCAAGGCUGAGAAACAGAUUGUUGGAUAUAUGAUUAACAUGUUUGAAUAUAUGAGCUGUGAAUGGCCUAUAAGUUCUAAUACUAAGUCAAGUUCAGAAAAUGUCUUUAAUGAAGUUCUAAAUAUGAAUAUGAACUGCUCAAUGCCUUAUUUUGGCAUUCCUGCUGUUUAACGUGUUUAUGAUGUGUUUUGACUAUUAAACUGUAAAGUCUUUCACUGUUUAUAUUCCCUCACACUCCCACUGCAUACACUAUUAUUACCAUACUUUUUAGAAUUUUCUGGAAGAGUCUAUUCAGUCACAAUCAUUGUAGACAGAUGUUAGUAUGCAGAGAUUUUAAGCACAGAAAGUAGAAGCAAUGUUACCACAUCUUCCACAGACUAUCUCCUUAAAAUACUUGUGAAUUAUUUUUGAAAACUCACAAAAUUGUGAAAUUUCUACUGGUGUCUGAAACCAUCAGCUACAUCUUCUGUUUUUAUUUUUUCCGCUUUUAUUCACCGUCCGGUUAAAUUGGAUACUCUGGUUGUUUCUGAUUAAAAUCUCCUUGCUAAUAUAUAUUCCUCUCAUGGCUGUUCGUUAUGCAUUAUACAUUUCCUUUCCCAAAAUGAAAUCACUGCUUUUUUGGUAUAUUUUAAUUUUAUUUGCACCGCUUAACUUUCAUAUAUAGAUUUUUAGCAAAUGACCUCGUUGUAACUGUCAGUUUACUAUCAACCGAGCUUUCUCUUGGGCAAAUUUUCCACAUCCACUGUUCACCUCAAUCACCCACUGUGGUUUCCUGAUCUCUCUCUAACUAUUUGGUGGCUUCAAAAGCUGAUAUUUUAUGGUAUUCAAUAGUAAAACUAACAAUAAAAGCUAUCAAUAUUCUAAAAUAGGACAUUUUGAAAUCUAUUUCUACUAGAGAAAUGAAUUAAACAAAUGAACUAGAACAUGUAAAAAAAUCCCGUCUGGAUGUUAAAUAUAAACAUAUGAAAAAUAUGGAAAUAUCACUGAAUAGAUAUAAUUAAUAGUGCUUUAUCAGAGUAAUAUUUUUGUAAGGUUAAAAAAUAAAGAACACCUUUUGUUUCCAUUAUUUAGGCAUUAGGACUGUUCCCUUUAUGACAUGUACUGGUCAGCGCUACAUGAAGACUUAUCUUUCUUUAUCUGAACUUCAAACCAUGCUACCAGCCACUGCUUGUGAAACACCACUUUCUGCUUUAGUUAUUUUCACAAGUCCUACUGCCCGCAGUACACUGCCCCCUCUUUGAGGACACGGCGUAUCUAUAUGAAGGCUGAUGGCUCUCACUGAUCCUAGCUUGCUAUUUUUACCACAAUACGUAUUCAUCUAUAAACCAACUUUACAAAAGAAAAUAUCUCAAAUCAGAAAUGUAAUGUUUAUUUCAUAUGAUUAAACUUUUCCCCAUGAUCCCAGACACUUGUUAGCUCUUUAAAACAAGUUUAUUCUUAGUUAAUAGCUCUGAAACUUUUUUAAAAAUGAAAAGACAGAGAAAACCCAGUGUUAAAUGCAAAUUUUUUAAAAAACUCUUUGCAGGAGGAAAUAUCUUUAUUUCGUGAAUUUAGCUAAAGAGGGACUCGAAUGGAGUUGAUAUCUGUAUGGAAAUCAGCCUUUGGAUUACAUAGUAUUUACCAAAGCUCUUUUUAAUAAUAUGAUGUUAUUUGAUAUCCAGAUGAUUUGAAUAAAUUGGCAUUGUUUAGGGAAAACCUAUAUCUUCAUACAUACACUCAUGUACAAAUCGUGUCCAUGCUUCAUGGGAGUAUGUACCUUGUCAAUUAUUAUUCACCUCUUUGGGUAUAUAAAAGAUACAUCUCUCGAUUUCUUAAAACAAUGGCAAAAGAGAAGAGAGUUUCCCUUUUGGAGAAUAUCCCCUACUUGAAGCGUACUACUUAUUUCAGAAACAUCUUCGCCUUUUUAAAAUAAUUGAUCUCAGUGGAAAAGAAAUUCUCCACUCUACCCAAUAUGACUACAUUUCAUCUUGAAAGUAAUAGAUCCUGAGCUGUUUUAACAAAGGAUAAUCACGGAAACCUAGAGUAAAAUCUCAAAAAUAGUGGGAAAAGUACCAAAUACAUAAUGCCCAAUAAUCUAACACAAAUCCAUCAAAGAUUCUUCACUUUUAUAGAUGUCAUAGGCAUGUGUGGUAAGAUGCCUCUCAAAAAACACAAAUAAUUACCUGCAACAGAUGUACUGGAAUCACUAAAGCUCUAACUAUAAUAUGUAGAAAACUGCAACCAUGUAUUUGCUAGGGGUUUUUUCAAGGAGAUAGCUGUAAUAAUUUCCCUACCUCAAACCUAAAAAUACAAAAUAUGUCUAGAGAUAUUUAAGGCCACACGUCAACAGCUCUUCUUGAAUCCUCUGCUUUGCAAUCAAUAAUUCUCCAGCCACUAGUGAAUAUGCUCCAUGACUCAUCAAAAACGGUAUACGCAGUCAAUGGGGAUCAUUGUUCCCCUCAUGCUCCACACAUGCGUUGACACUGACAGCAGUUAUGCCUCCUAUAGUGGGAGACAGCAUCAAGAUGGCACCAAGCCGGGAGGCAACUCCUCUGAGGUUCUCUAUAAAAUUGCCCCACCCAAAGGGGAACCCACUACAUCCAUCCUGUCUUACAUCUUUGGCAUCCUUCAAGGAAAUAAAAGUAGGCAUACUUUAUAUGGAUGGAAAGCGACUGCAUUUUUUCAGCUUCACACUCACUGUGCAUGGCAAAAUGUACUUCAGUUAUGAAAAUAUCUGGAAGGAAUGUUUCCAGGACCUAUGCCAUUGUGCUCUGUUUACCAGUCAGAUGCUUUCUCAAGAAUGUGUUCAAAUUACAAAGACAACAUCUCCGUGUAUAGGAAUUCUUCAAAGCCCAUAACAUGACUGCAGAAACAUAUUUUCACAUUUCCUAACAUUCGAACGCAUGCCCUCUUCCCCACAGGUGAAAACCCUUCAAUCUCACACAUCCAUCAAACUAUGAUUAACAUUUGGUCAGGAGUUUGUCUGGACUGAUUUGAUGUUUUUAUUUUCUAAGGAAGGAAAGUCACAGAAAAGGAAAAUACAUAUUAAGCAUUUGAGGAUAAUUGCUAUUUACUGAAAACUCUAUUUUAAAAUCAAUUUUAGUGACUCGUCUAAGUUUGGUAACUUCAGGACAAUGAUAACUCUAGUGUCUCUAGAAUGUUCCUAAGUAGCAAUCAUACUCUGUUCUGGCCUUUGAGAGGUGUUAAGACUCAUCCCCUAAUUAUAAGCCUUUUCUCUGUGAUUGCUACCUCACCACUAAAUCUCCAAACUAAAUACUAGUUUUGAGGAAAUAAAAAUAGAUGUUUGGUGUGUUUUCUCAAAUUUUGGUUACAAUGGAUAAGAAAGACGAGGUAUUUCUAUGUAUAAUAAACUUCUUUAGCUUGUAAAAAUAAGAGUCCAUUUUGUUGUGUUCUGACCAGCAAACUCUUUAGGCUUUCUCUCAGAAUACUGCUUUCCUGCUUCAUUCUAGAACAGCACUGCCCAUUAGAAAUACCACGCAUGCCACAUUUGACACUUUAAGUUUCCUAGUAGGCGCAUUAAAAAAGCAACGGGUGAAAUUAAUCUAACAAUAUAUUCUAUUGAAACCAAUACAUCCCAAAUAUUAUCACUCUAACAAAUAAUCAAUAUAAAGAUAUUAAGCAGAUGUUUUACAUUCUUUCCUUCCUACGAAGUUUUCAAAACCCAGAUGUAUUUUCCACUUCGAGCAAAUCUCAGCCCAGAUGAGCCACACUUCAAGUGCUCAACAGCCACAUGGGGCUAGUGGCUACUGCAGUGGACAGCACAUUCUACAUUUCCAAAAAUACGAAGUUUAUAUGCUUUAACAUCUUCCUAGGUAACAUCCUCUGUGAUGGGUAUUGCUGUUAGGAUUUCAUAUUUAGCAAACAUUUAAGUGAAUGUACUCCACUUCCUCCCUCCCCUCCGUGACCCUCAUAUCUGCUGCCCAGCCUGCUGUCUCUUUCUUAGCGUGUAAGAAACUCCAAUCGCCUCUUCUUUGGAGCCUCUCCUAAGCAAGAUGUGAGAUGCUUUCUAAUCUGCGCAUCUUCUAUCACCAAGCAGAAAGCCAGAAGGUGCAGCAAAGCUCCUUUCUCUGGUUCCAUAAAUAGACGUAUCAAGAACAGACCUAAUGUAUGGCGACAAUGAUAAAUGCAAGGGCAAUAUUUCUGCUUACAAUGAAGACAGGAAAUUCUAUAUAAUAAAGUAACACACUCUUCCUCAAUGAGAAAUGCGAUUUUACUCUUUUUUUCUCCCCAGGAGAAACCUUGGGAUAUUCUGUUCCUGCUCUGGAACAGAACCCAGUGUUUCAUUUCAUAGGAAUUCUGUGCCCAGAGGAAGAAGAGAAUUUUGGAAUCAAAAUUUAAUGAAUUCAACUUGGAGUCUCAGUAUGCCUCAAAUGUGGGGAUGCAAACACAAGCAGUAAUAUCUCAAACCAUAAAACACUCCAGCGUCUCUCUUGGCACUGCUGCACAGAGAAUCACGCUUAUGUGUAUCUACACACAGAUUUGUUCUUGGUUACAUGAGAAGAAAAUUAAACUAGGCACAUGUGAGGCUGAAUCUCCUAGCAAUAAUAAAACCUGAUGAUUAUGUCUUAAGUGACACUGUAAUUAUCGACGGAUGGAUGAACAGGUUUUCUGGUGCUGACCCAACCUGUUCCCUAAAAUACAAAAGGCAGCUUUUGUAGUGCUCGGCGAGGAAACCCCUUAUUAAACAAACAGAACUAGAAGCUAUGUCCACAUUUUCAAAGAAGGGCUAACAACACAGUAAUCCAAAAACAUUUCACGCCAUGCACCAUACACAGCACGGAUGAAACUCAGAACGCUGUAAGCUUCCUAAAAAAGUCCUGAGCUACAGUUGUCCCCAACUUUAAGAAAGCAAAGAUACAAGUGACAACGGUGUGCUUUCUCCAGCUACAAAAUAACUUUAUUCAGCGUCUCUCUGGCCAUAACUACAUCCAAGACCUUCCAAGUACUGGGCUAAAUAUUCUUAGGAUGAAUUUUACAAUCAUUGAAUCUUCAUUUUAACUUGUCUCCGUGAUCUUUUAUCUCAAUAGCGAGACAAGGAGAAACACCAAGGCUCUCAGGAUCCCACAGAGAUAACACGGAGUGGAUCACUUACGCUGGUAUAGAACAGCUAUGGACUCAGUACCCCCGGGUAUAAACAGACGCCGUGUUCAAACCCAGGAGGGAGGAACACCGCGUCCACGGGUGUAGUAUUUCAAAGCGCGUUGCAGAGGGCCUGCAAAUCCAAAGGCAUUAAUGACGACUUCUCUCUCCGUGUAUCAAUUUGUUUAAGAAAUUCCUCCGAGUGUGGCAGAGCCUACCACCCAUUUGCUACAGCUUGCGCCUGUGCCGGGGGCCACACGAAGUAAAGGCAGCGGCAGUCGCCUUUCUGGCAGCUUCUCACUCGAUCUUAAUCCUAGGGAAGUACCCUGCACGGAAUCACCCCACAGAGCCCCGGCAGCCGCACACCCCGCGUCCCCGGGGAGGCCGUGCACACAAGAGCCCUUCCACAGCACCCCGCCGCCUGCGCGCUGCUGGGAGGGCGAGCAGAGCUCCGCCAGGUACCUGCUCGUGUUACAGGCUCUGGAAUCAAAGUAUUCUCACAUGACACAUCACUGCCAAUAACAGAUUCCGGCUCCAUUAAAAAAAAAAAAAGUGGUGGGGGGGGGCUACAUAUUUGUCCUGCUUUUGUCUAAAACCCAGAACCCAAGUACUAACACUUUUCCUUCUCAAUCUUUCAUGAAAGCAAUUCAAUCAAGCUACUGCGGCUCCACCCAGAGAGCGUCUAUACUUACUUUUCUUACAGUUUUUGAGUGACGCACUACAAAACGAUGGGGGAAAAAAAAAAAGGAGCCCUCUGGUCUCACGCAGGGCGUCUUCCGCCCUGUAAACUUGGCAAAAGGCGAACUGGACUGAAAUCCAGCACUCUCCAUAUAAGGAAGCCCAGCUAAACAUGUCAUGCGUAAUUUACGGGUAGCAGGCAGAGAAUUAACCUUUGCGUGCACAUCUUUGGCCCCGGCGAAAACCGGGCUGGAUGGCAGCCCCGGGGACGGGGACGCGGGGUCUCCCGGGAGAAACCGGGGCUCCCAUCCCAUGGGCUUGCAUCCGCCCCCGACAAAGGUCAUUAAGUUGUGGGCUGCUUUGGGAAGUUCGUCCCGUGACAGAGGAGAGGGAGACACCCACUAACCUGAGAGAUCAGCUGGAUCAGCCCUGGAUAUCAACAGUCGGCAGACCCCCAGCUGGAUCACCCACACGUCACAGAGCCAGCCGCGUCUCAGUAAGACCGGUAUAAAGUUUCACAAUGCAAUGCAGCAGUCAUCCACUUUCAACUUUUAUUAGACUCGAUGAAAAUUUAUGUCUUAGGUAGUGUGUCACAUGAACGUAAUCUUAAUGAAACAUAGUAAAAUAUAUGUCUAUAUUUCAAAAGUCAAAAUUUAUCUUUUCCAGCAAUAAAUUAUUACAACAUGAUGUCUAAUUUUACUUAACGUGGAUUUGGGGGCAGGCUCUAAAUGCUUUUUCUUAUGACAGCAUGUGAAAUAAAAAGCAUGGGCAAUGUGUCCUGCUGUUCUAAUGAUGACAAGAAUAUUCUCUUCAACGAUCUGUGUGUCUCACGGAAACUCAGUCAGAUAAGCACUAAUUUUUUUCUGUAGAUAUAAUUUUCUCAAAGACAGAACAAAUCCUAAAAUUAUUUUCCAUAAUCUAGAACCAGUUUGUUUGCUCAGAGAUUUUAGUAAUUCUCAGCAACAACAACAUCAACACAUCUGUCUUGUCAGCAAGAUAGCAUUCCCUCUGCUUCUCUGGCCUUUGUUUGCCAUUCUGAAUUACAGGACUGAUCAAUUUAGAUUGUAAUUUCCUUGGGCUAUGUUUUCUCUUGGUCUUAUCAGUUAUUCAGCAUAAUACCACAUUAUGUCUAACACACCCACAGCACUUAAUAGUUUAUGAUAUCAAAAUACCUCAUACUUGAAAUUCUGGACAUUUAAAAAGACUUCCAUCAUUUUCUUUUUAAAGACAGGGGCAUUAAAACAACAAACAACAUAAUCAAGUUGUAAUGGAAAUAGUUUUGUUUAAUUAUCGUGUGACACAUAAAGCUGAAGAUGCACAAUUUUAAUGGAUUUCUCACAACUCCAAACUUAAUUUAAAAAUUUUGACCUAGUUAAGGAUGUUGAACUUUAGUCAACAGUUCAUUUCCUAAAUUUAUAACACUAACAAUGUGUUUUUCUUCUCUCUAUAAUCAAAAGAUAGCUACUCUCGUCACAGAAGCUUGCAUAAAAAUAGUUUUAAAAGACCAUCUUCCAAGUAAUGUAAUAGAACCAGUAUGACAACACCAUUUACCAAAAUUGAUAAAAAUUAAAUCUGUUAAUUGAUGGAACAAUACAUACUUUCUUGUUGGGGGAGCCAUGCGAUUGAUUACUCUAAUUUAAAAAAGCGAACCAAGGUAAGUAAGUUUUAAAUUUAUUAUUUGAACAUACAUAGUAUAUAUAUUUCUUGGGAUAUUUCCUUACGAGUCCCACACAGCAAACGCGUGAUGUGUGCCGCCUUCUCAAAUGAGUAAGUUAUAGAAGGGCUAGUAGCAAGUUACCCAAACGUCCAUAUAUACAACCAGACUUGUUCACUUACUGCAUUUUUCUUUUUAAGAUGUAUUGAACUCUGUCGUGUUUUUACCAACAUAUAUAAAAACCAACUGCUUUUAAAAGGAUGAUUUAAAAAUCGCUGUAUAAUGAAUACAAUUGUAUUAAAUAGUUAAUAUAUAUAAACAUUACUCUAGAUUGGCACAAACAAAAACAAAUUUCUGCUGGAUUUAGAUUACUUUAGAAUUUCCUAAUGAGAUCAGUUUCAACUUAGUUGGAUCUCCGAUUUGAAUCCAAACGAUCUUACUUUGUUGCAGUUCUCACUCCAUUUUUAAGCGUCAUAACCGCAAAUUAGUCUUAAGACAAACACGAAUUUCCGUAAUUAGAUUCACUUAUGUUUAGAUUUUUAAAGCAUACCAUCUACACUACAAAUUGCUUUUUCUAAAGUAUUUAAAUAUUAUCAUGAUGUGAUGAUAUGAAAAAUAACUGAAAUGUCACAUUUUAAAUAAUACAACGUAUUUUCAGUGGAUAAAAAUAAAUACAAGAAUAUCUUUUUCUUGGAAAAUGUCCAACUAAUAAUAUGCGACAUUAAAGACUGAUAUAUGUGGAAGAAUUUAGAAAUGUUAAGAAUUUACUGAGGCUAGGGGAAGAAAAAAAUUCUCAAAGUUUAUUAUACAAAAAUUCUUUUAGCACUAAAUUGUGUAUAAAAUUAUGAAAAAAGAAAACGUUUUACUUUGUGGUUAAAAUAAUUUAAGAUCAAUAAGAACCUUAAAAUUUUCCGGCUUUCUUAAAAGUUGCAUGUGAAGUUGAAACUUUCUGAAUUUAGUAAACUUUUUCGUUUAAAGUAUUGACUACUGCUUGAGAGAGGUGUCAGCUUUAUCUAACCUACUUUGUAUUCCACCAGCAUUUAAACCGUUGUUGUAUAAACAGCAAUCCAAAUAAUAAAAUGAAAAGUAGCAAGUAAGUCUUUCUUCUUACCUCUCUGUCUUAUUUAUAGUUGCUUGUGAAGCUGCAUAAAUAGUUGAGCUAAACUAACGGCAACUCCAAGAGCUCUCUUCUCUUCUCUGGUCACAUUUUUUUCCCUCUGCAAGAGGACAGUGUAGCAAAAGAGGAAGCUGUGAAACACCAGAGUCACUAUGCUUUAUACGGUCCGUGGAGAGCAGAAAAUUAUUCACGAAGCUUAGCCUUGGAGUCAUGAUAAUAGGCUAUAAUUUGUGUAUGUGCAUCUAUAAUUAAUGUACACAUAUAUUUAUACAUGUAAGCAAUUUUAGAAAAGUUAAGUUAUAGAAAUCUAUACUUGAUUAAGAAAUGUUCAUUUACAGAAGGAGACACCUCCUGUGUGGCUAAAUGAUAAUCAGAGAAAAACAGAAAACACUGAUCUACGCAGAAGAAGACUGUCAAGCUGACACAUGAGGGAUAAACUGACUUUCAUAAGGCUAAUUAAUUUAAAGUCUUUGGAGUAUGAUCUAAAUGCUAAUCCGAUUGCAGACAUCUUGUAAAAAGAAAAAAAAAACUUCAGUAAACGGGCAUUUUCCUGGAAUCUGGGUAGUGGUUUUUUACCUACAAGUCUUGAACUUCCUUUCUCAUGAAGAGUUGCCUGCUACAUACAGAUAAAGCAUUGCAAAACCGAAACUGUCGCUUAUCCACGAGCUAUGGCCUCUCUCAACUUCAGCCGCAAGAAUAAAAACAGGUGCAGAUCCUGCAAUGCUGAACAUUUACCAGUUAAGUUUCUAACAUGUUGGAGCACUAAUUGAAAAUAUUUACAAAACAGUAGGGACAAUGGUUGAAAAAGGACAUGAAAACAGUUGAUCAAAGCAAAUAUUAUUGUCAAUGCCAAAUAAAAGGAAAUACUCAUAUAUAUACGCAUACACACUUAUAUAUAUAUAUAUAUACUUCUCCCAGGCUACCGGUUAACAGAAGCAAAUUAGCAGCUGCAAUUUGUACGUGGCAGUCCCUCCCACCCUCCCCUGCUGGUUGGGGAAGAGGAAAGGUGUGGAUUGCAAGAAUCACUUAGCAGUUAUGCAAACCUCCACACAUUGCAAGAACCACUUUCUGGAGUUUAGAAACUAUCGUGUUCUCAGGGUAUCACAGUCUGCUUUUUAUUGAACCAUAUUUUCAAAGGGGCAAUAAAGAGUAAUUAGGGAUGAUUAAAAAUGGAAGCAUUUUCCAUUUCACUCAAACCCAUACUUACUGCGAAUUUGCAGGAAGUAAAAGUAAAUGAACAAACAAUACCAAGAAGACUGCCUCCACACAAAAAAACAAAACAAACAAAAGAACCACCAGAGUAUUCUCAACAUAAAAUUUUAUUUGAAUUCUUUAGUGAGACACUUGUAGGAAAAUCCUUGAAGAAAAAGUUACCGAUGUGAUUAAUAUUGCUUAGACUCUAUGUGUUUUGGGAAAUGUUAAAUGUUAUUGUAUUGACUAUUAGUAUAAAACACUAGGUCCUUCCGCUUCCCAAAGACCCAGGCUCACUAUCUGAAGGGUGGUGCUCAAUGUUGGGCAUGAUCUUAAUGUGCUAGCUUGAUACUUGUGUCCCUUUGACCUGGGUCGUGGACGUAUGUCUCUGGUUCUGUAACGAUCCUUUCCAGGCUGGCGAACAUGCUCAAGGUUCCUCUAUUUUAAAAAAUUCUCCUCUGACUGAUCUGCCCCUAUUACUUUCCUUUUUGAGAAAGUUGUCAUCAUUGACUUCCUUCAAGUCCCCAUAGCCUUUGUGUGUGGUAGAAUAUACAUAAAAUAAAAUUGACCGUUUUUGUCAUUUUUAAGUGUGCAGUCCAGAGGCAUUAAGCACGUUCACAUUGUUGUGCAACCAUCACCACCAUCCGUCUCCGGAUCUUAUUCAUCCCCCUAAACUGAAACUCUGUGCUCAUUAAACAAUAACUCCCCAUUUCUCCUCCCCAACCAGCCCCUGGCGACCACCAUUCUACUUUCUGUCUCUAUGAAUUUGCCUUCUCUAGGGACCUCGUAUAAAUGGAGUCACAGAAUAUUUGUCCUUGUGGCUGGCUUAUUUCACUUAGGUUCAUCGAGGUUGUAGCAUGCGUCUGAAUUUUAAUUUGUAUUUACCUGAUUGCUAUGGAGAUUGAACAUAUUUUAAUGUUGUAUUCCCUUCAUGUUUCCUGUUUGGUAAAUUGCCUGCUCCUCCAUUCCAGACGUUUGUUUAUCGGAUAUUGUCAACUUCUUAUUGGUUUGUAAGGUUAAAUUUACCUUGUGUUUCAAUGUAUUGUAUUCAUUCUUUUUUUAAUGCUCCAGUCAUUGGUUACUGUAACUUUUUGAGAUGACCCCAAUGUUCUUCAAUAAUAUCUUUACCUUCUGGCACAACAAGGAACCCAGGUUCUUUUUAUGUUUCCUACCCAGACCUGAACCUGAACUUAGGCGUUUCUCUAAAGGACAUUAGUUCCUUUCAGAGACCAGGUUUAAAAGAAUUUUUUUUUAGGAAGAUUAGCCCUGAGCUAACAUCCGUGCGCAUCUUCCUCUGCUUUAUAUGUGGGACGCCUGCCACAGCAUGGCUUGAUAAGUGGUGCAUAGGUCCGCACCCAGGAUCUAAACUGGGGAACGCUGCACCGCCCAAGCAGAGCCGUGAGCUUAACCACUACACCGCCUGGCGGGCCCCUGGGACAGGGCUUUUGAGACCACACUUUAGACCUUAGUGGCACUCAUUGUUACUGGGUUAUCAUUAACAUUAGGAAUACACUGACUUAUCAUAAGCAUUAGCAGUUAGUCAACAAAAUGUUAGCUCUUUCUAUAUGCCCAGCAGCACAUACAUGCAAGAUAAAUUUAAACACGUAUUAAAAGUUUAUAAUGUGUGUUAAUAUUACAUCAUAUUUUGCAUUAAAAUAAUUUAAGAAUAACAUAUCUGAUACAAAAAUAUCUUCUUUUGAAUAAAAAUUUGGUCGUAUUUUCUUAUAAAAGGAUAGUUUGAUAAGGAAAUGUAGGGGCCGCCCAGUGGUGCAGCGAUUAAGUGCGCAUGUUCUGCUUCACCGGUCCAGGGUUCCCCAGCCCGGAUCCCGGGUGCGGACAUGGCACCGCUUAGCAAGCCAAGGUGUGGCAGGUGUCCCACAUAUAAAAUAGAGGAAGAUGGGCAUGGAUGUUAGCUCAGGGCCAGUCUUCCUCAGCAAAAAGAGGAGGAUUGGCAGCAGAUGUUAGCUCAGGGCUAAUCUUCCUCAAAACAGACAAACAACAACGACAACAAAAGAAAGGUAAUAACAUAGUAAUUGUCAUAUCUUGCAUUUAGAACUUUGAAAAUACCCUUCCAAAGAAAUUUCAAAAAUCGUGUAGAUUGGAAAAAUGUACUCAGCUUCCAUAUUUUCCAUUAGUUUCAUCCACAUUUAUCAUUAUGAUUCUCAGUCUCUGUUUCUUUCAAUUUUUUUGCUAUUAUGCACUUAUGACUUAAAAGUUAGCAA
This is a long non-coding RNA of Equus asinus (donkey), 12485 nucleotides long. The record is from Ensembl. NCBI's taxonomy places the organism in Eukaryota, Metazoa, Chordata, Mammalia, Perissodactyla, Equidae.